GAUGAACGCUGGCGGCGUGCCUAAUACAUGCAAGUCGAGCGAACGGACGAGAAGCUUGCUUCUCUGAUGUUAGCGGCGGACGGGUGAGUAACACGUGGAUAACCUACCUAUAAGACUGGGAUAACUUCGGGAAACCGGAGCUAAUACCGGAUAAUAUUUUGAACCGCAUGGUUCAAAAGUGAAAGACGGUCUUGCUGUCACUUAUAGAUGGAUCCGCGCUGCAUUAGCUAGUUGGUAAGGUAACGGCUUACCAAGGCAACGAUGCAUAGCCGACCUGAGAGGGUGAUCGGCCACACAGGAACUGAGACACGGUCCAGACUCCUACGGGAGGCAGCAGUAGGGAAUCUUCCGCAAUGGGCGAAAGCCUGACGGAGCAACGCCGCGUGAGUGAUGAAGGUCUUCGGAUCGUAAAACUCUGUUAUUAGGGAAGAACAUAUGUGUAAGUAACUGUGCACAUCUUGACGGUACCGAAGCAGAAAGCCACGGCUAACUACGU
Molecule: ribosomal RNA, 496 nt
Filed under: uncultured bacterium
Lineage: Bacteria
Description: partial 16S ribosomal RNA
Rfam family: Bacterial small subunit ribosomal RNA
Source: RNAcentral